This 451-nucleotide ribosomal RNA is filed under the name uncultured bacterium. RNAcentral's name for it is "bacterial SSU rRNA". It matches the Rfam family "Bacterial small subunit ribosomal RNA", at positions 29 to 524 of the family's 1533-position model. The record is from RNAcentral.
AACGAACGCUGGCGGCAUGCCUAACACAUGCAAGUCGAACGAGACCUUCGGGUCUAGUGGCGCACGGGUGCGUAACGCGUGGGAAUCUGCCCUUGGGUUCGGAAUAACAGCGAGAAAUUGCUGCUAAUACCGGAUGAUGACGUAAGUCCAAAGAUUUAUCGCCCAAGGAUGAGCCCGCGUAGGAUUAGCUAGUUGGUGAGGUAAAGGCUCACCAAGGCGACGAUCCUUAGCUGGUCUGAGAGGAUGAUCAGCCACACUGGGACUGAGACACGGCCCAGACUCCUACGGGAGGCAGCAGUGGGGAAUAUUGGACAAUGGGCGAAAGCCUGAUCCAGCAAUGCCGCGUGAGUGAUGAAGGCCUUAGGGUUGUAAAGCUCUUUUACUGGGGGAUGAUAAUGACAGUACCCAGAGAAUAAGCUCCGGCUAACUCCGUGCCAGCAGCCGCGGUAAU